RNAcentral lists this transfer RNA (83 nucleotides) under Candidatus Colinaster scatohippi. RNAcentral describes it as "tRNA-Leu". It matches the Rfam family "tRNA". Rfam says of the family: Transfer RNA (tRNA) molecules are approximately 80 nucleotides in length. The record is from RNAcentral. Lineage: Bacteria; Bacillati; Bacillota; Clostridia; Lachnospirales; Lachnospiraceae.
GCGGAAGUGGAGGAAUGGCAGACGCGCAGGCUUCAGGUGCCUGUGGUAGCAAUACCGUGUGGGUUCAAGUCCCAUCUUCCGCA